AAAAAUCAGGAAUACUAUUCCUACACCCUUUUUUGACACCAAAUACUUACAUCAUAUACACUGUUCGUCGUAUUUAUACGGUGAACACUGUAUUUUUAAAAUAAAUAAAAAAUAUAUUUAUGAACAGUACGUGAACAAUAUAUAAACAGUACGUGAAUAAUACAUGAACAGUGCACGUAAACAGUGUCUAUGAACAAUACACGUGAACAAUGACUUAAAGUAAUAAAAAAAAGUUGGUUAAUUAAAU
This 247-nucleotide long non-coding RNA is filed under the name Lathyrus oleraceus (garden pea). RNAcentral's name for it is "Pisum sativum (pea) long non-coding RNA (PSAT_LNC014098)". Lineage: Eukaryota; Viridiplantae; Streptophyta; Magnoliopsida; Fabales; Fabaceae. The record is from RNAcentral.